This is an RNA transcript of Triticum aestivum (bread wheat), 1847 nucleotides long. It is a transcript of the gene named tetratricopeptide repeat protein 5, with no coding region annotated. The transcript has 14 exons. The record is from RefSeq and is a predicted model, not a curated record. NCBI's taxonomy places the organism in Eukaryota, Viridiplantae, Streptophyta, Magnoliopsida, Poales, Poaceae.
AGAUGGCAUCCUACCGAGCAUGCCCUCUCCGCCUCAACAGAUCGCAUCGCCGCCCAGGGAAACGAUGAGCCGCGAGGCCAGCGGCGCGUCGGUGAGCUCUGCCCCGGUGCCCGAGCCAGAGCGGCAGCAGGGGCAGGGGAACCAAGGGGAGGAGGCGGGGUGGACGCCGCUGGAGAAGGUGGCGGAUAAAGUGGAGGAGCUGUACAGUCUCCGUGACACCUUCUUCCCCCGAGACCCCUCCGAGAAGUCUGCGUCCCUCCGCGCCUGCGCCGACGCCGCCCUGGGAGUCCUCGAUUCCCUGCCUCCCGGUUAUUCUUCGACGGGUACUGCAGGUUCUGUGACUGAUGCUUCCCGCACUGAGCAACCACCCACUACACAGUCAGAGCAAAGAAAAUCCCCAGAAGAGCGUGUUAUUUAUGAAUUUUUGAUGGGGAAAAUACUCGAUGUCUUCCCAGAUUAUUGUAAGGAGGCUGAAGAGCAUUUAUCCAAAGCAGUAAAGCUGAAUCCAUCUCUUGUGGAUGCAUGGCUAUGUUUGGGUAACUGCAUCUGGAAGAAGGGGAAUUUGGCAUCAGCAAGGAACUGUUUCUUAUUAGCACUAAGUAAGGGCACAGAUAAGAAAAUACUAUGUCAACUCUCAAUGCUUGAAAGGAGUAUGGCUCAAUCUAGUGAAGACCAAGCGUUGUUAGUGGAAGAGAGCAUUAAUCAUGCAAAAGAAGCUGUAAUGCUGGACAUAAAAGAUGGAAAUUCCUGGUAUAAUCUGGGUAAUGCAUACCUCACAAGCUUCUUUGCGAGCGGAGCCUGGGACAAAGCUAGGCUUCAUCAUUCGAUCAAAGCAUAUCAAAACGCUGAGAAGGAUGAAACUAUGAAACUAAAUCCAGACCUCUACUAUAAUUGUGCCACAGCUUACAAAUACUUAGAGAACUAUGAAAGUGCCAUUCGCGGAUUUGAAGCUGCUGCAUUAAAAGAUCCUGCUCUCAGGGCUGACAUAGAAGUUCAGAAGAUCAUCAAUCUCCUUGAUAAGUUAGAGAAUGCAAUGAAGGUACCUUCUGUAACUAUAGGACGACUACGACCCAAGAGAUCAGCAUCAUUGGUGUCAUCUCUGAAUGAAGUCAAUUUCAAGUUAUUCCACAAGAAAGCAACCAUAAGCAUCCUAUCAGGAGGUUUGAACAAGACAGUUGCUGUUGUGUGUAAAGUGGUUCUUUGGAUAAGACAUGACGAUGAUGCUCCACUGUCUCCCGAAGAAGAUGGUGUCCUUAUACGGUGAUCCUCCACCUCAUAAGUGAGAUUAACUACAGCUAAGAACUUCUGCUUAAUAGUAAAGAUGAGGAGCAGGAUUUGCACUAGUAUAAAUCAAUACUGUCGAUGCACUGCGACUCACUGUGCUGCAUCAUGCUAUUUGGUCGCCACAAUAAUCCACAUGGUCCCAAGGCCAUCCCCACGGUAUUAUUUAACAUGUGACUUGGAUCAGUCUUAUUUCAUACUAUCAGUUUACGGGCUACAGAAUGAAGCACGCUAUAAGUUCAAGUCAAUUCGUGUGGACUUCCCAGAACAAAUUAUUAUCAACGAGAAAGCUCCAGCUGCUCAUCAUGUUGCCCGGGCUUCAAUUCGGGCUCAGCAUAAACCAUAACUGUUGGCAAAACUGUCACGCCUGCAGAUGAACCUGCAGCGGACUGAAGAGUGCAAGUGCAGAACCUGAACUUGCAACGACCAGUUAGCGGGGAGGCUGGGCUGGGACCCACCUGCCAGGGGUGUGCGUGUGUGCUACGCCAGCUGUAGCCUACUUGUAACCGUGUGAGUGGACAGAUGAUGGCAAUGAGAAAAUAGAUGAACUACUUUCCCCUUCCUCA